Molecule: non-coding RNA, 94 nt
Organism: Acanthosepion pharaonis
Lineage: Eukaryota; Metazoa; Mollusca; Cephalopoda; Sepiida; Sepiidae
Source: the annotation of a GenBank genome assembly
UUAUGCUGGUUCACGUACGAUCACCGAAGUUAAGCAACGUCAGUCGUGGUUAGUACCUGGAUGGGUGACCGCUUGGGAAUAUAAGGUCCUGUAA